This 479-nucleotide ribosomal RNA is filed under the name Peripatidae sp. OHL140. RNAcentral describes it as "partial small subunit ribosomal RNA". The record is from RNAcentral. Lineage: Eukaryota; Metazoa; Onychophora; Udeonychophora; Euonychophora; Peripatidae.
AGCAGCAGCGGUUAUACGCUAUUAUAUAUCAAUUUUACCUGAAAUAAAACUAUUUUUUCAUAUUUUUUAAGAAAUGAAAUUCCAAAUCAAAAUAAUAAAUAAAUUAAUCUCAUAUUAGACCAAAACCAGGAUUAGAUACCCUGUUAUCCUACUCUUAUACAAUAUUUCAAAGAAAUAUAACUAAAUAAAUAUGACGGUAUUAAUUUUUACAAAGGAUUUUGUUUUCUUAAUCGACAAUACACGAACUACCUCACUUAAAUUAUAUAUGUAUACCACCGUUAAAGAAAUUAUUUUUAACAAAUUUCAAAAAAAUAAAACUUUAAAAAAUCAGGUCAAGGUGCAAUUUAUUUAAGUAAAAAUGAAAUACAUUAAUUAAAUAUUAUAUAUUAUUUUUGAAAAAAGAAUAUAAAAUAGAAUUUGUUAGUAAAAAAAAAUAAUCAUGUUUUUUUGAAAAAUUUUAUUAAUAUGUACAUAUCGCC